This 435-nucleotide ribosomal RNA is filed under the name Triticum aestivum (bread wheat). RNAcentral describes it as "partial small subunit ribosomal RNA". The record is from RNAcentral. Lineage: Eukaryota; Viridiplantae; Streptophyta; Magnoliopsida; Poales; Poaceae.
AUGAUGGCGCAUGAGGUCUUUUCCCGCCUCCUUCUCACGGAACAGCGGGUCGAGUCGCGCCGCUCCAGGGGCAAUGGGGGCUCCCUCUCGGCCAACGCCGCCACCAAGGGUGGCCGCCCUUCUUCAUCAUCCAGGACCCCUUCGGGGCUGCCACUGCUGCCCGCCUCGGCCCCCCUGCUUCUGCGACAUUACCGGGGGCUGGUGGUAAGCGCGUGUGUCAGCUCUGUGGCCUUGAUGGGCACUGGGCCUCUAAGUGUCACAAACGCUUUCAGAAAAGUUUUCUGGGUCUGGGCAAUGAUGGCAAGGACACGCGCAACUUUGCGCGUCAGGUGGCCAUGGCAGAUCGGCCAGUGUCCACAAAGCAGCAAGGGCACACUCAGUCCUACUCUGUUGAUCCCCACUGGUACAUGGACUCUGGGGCAACGGAGCACCUGA